RNAcentral lists this ribosomal RNA (450 nucleotides) under uncultured bacterium. RNAcentral describes it as "bacterial SSU rRNA". It matches the Rfam family "Bacterial small subunit ribosomal RNA", at positions 28 to 507 of the family's 1533-position model. The record is from RNAcentral.
GAUGAACGCUGGCGGCGUGCCUAACACAUGCAAGUCGAGCGAACCCUUCGGGGUGAGCGGCGGACGGGUGAGUAACGCGUGGGUAACCUGCCCUAUACACACGGAUAACGUACCGAAAGGUACGCUAAUACGAGAUGAUAUAUUUUUAUCGCAUGGUAGAAAUAUCAAAGCUCCGGCGGUAUAGGAUGGACCCGCGUCUGAUUAGCUAGUUGGUGAGGUAACGGCCCACCAAGGCGACGAUCAGUAGCCGGACUGAGAGGUUGACCGGCCACAUUGGGACUGAGAUACGGCCCAAACUCCUACGGGAGGCAGCAGUGGGGAAUAUUGCACAAUGGGCGCAAGCCUGAUGCAGCAACGCCGCGUGAGCGAAGAAGUAUUUCGGUAUGUAAAGCUCUAUCAGCAGGGAAGAAAAUGACGGUACCUGACUAAGAAGCCCCGGCUAACUACGUG